UACGUAGGGGGCAAGCGUUGUCCGGAAUCAUUGGGCGUAAAGCGCGUGUAGGCGGCUCGAUAAGUCUGCUGUGAAAGUCCAGGGCUCAACCCUGGGAUGCCGGUGGAUACUGUCGAGCUUGAGUCCGGAAGAGGCGAGUGGAAUUCCUGGUGUAGCGGUGAAAUGCGCAGAUAUCAGGAGGAACACCUAAGGCGAAGGCAGCUCGCUGGGACGUGACUGACGCUGAGACGCGAAAGCGUGGGGAGCAAACAGG
RNAcentral lists this ribosomal RNA (253 nucleotides) under uncultured bacterium. RNAcentral's name for it is "partial 16S ribosomal RNA". It matches the Rfam family "Bacterial small subunit ribosomal RNA", at positions 524 to 776 of the family's 1533-position model. The record is from RNAcentral.